UACGAGAGGUGCAAACGUUAUUCGGAAUCAUUGGGCGUAAAGGGCGCGCAGGCGGUACAUUAAGUCUGCUGUUAAAUCCUCCGGCCUAACUGGAGAUCUGCAGUAGAAACUGGUGUGCUUGAGAGUGGAAGAGAGAAGUGGAAUUCUCGGAGUAGCGGUAAAAUGCGUAGAUCUCGAGAGGAACACCGAUGGCGAAGGCAGCUUCUUGGUCCAUUUCUGACGCUGAGGCGCGAAAGCGUGGGGAGCAAACAGG
RNAcentral lists this ribosomal RNA (253 nucleotides) under uncultured bacterium. RNAcentral's name for it is "partial 16S ribosomal RNA". It matches the Rfam family "Bacterial small subunit ribosomal RNA", at positions 524 to 776 of the family's 1533-position model. The record is from RNAcentral.